ACGCUCGACACCUACGGAGGCAGCAGUGGGGAAUAUUGCACAAUGGGGGAAACCCUGAUGCAGCGACGCCGCGUGAGUGAAGAAGUAUUUCGGUAUGUAAAGCUCUAUCAGCAGGGAAGAAACUGACGGUACCUGACUAAGAAGCACCGGCUAAAUACGUGCCGGCAGCCGCGGUAAUCUGAGCGGGCUGGCAAGGC
This 197-nucleotide ribosomal RNA is filed under the name uncultured bacterium. Its description in RNAcentral is "partial 16S ribosomal RNA". It matches the Rfam family "Bacterial small subunit ribosomal RNA", at positions 328 to 539 of the family's 1533-position model. The record is from RNAcentral.